GGGGGGAUCAUUAACCAGAAAUAUUCCUGGACCAAAGACUGCAAAGUUGAAGGAAAGGGAAAAUUUUACAACAAAUCACCGUUUUAAAACAUAACGUUUUAACACAAACCAAACAAGAUUAACCCAAUUACGAUUCAUUUUUUGAUUCUCAACACCGAUUGCUUUUCAAGUAGUCGACAACAAAGAAACAAAAGAAACGACUCGCAACAACGGAUAUCUUGGUUCUCGCAACGAUGAAGAACGCAGCGAACUGCGAAACGUAAUGCGAAUUGCAGAAUUCAGUGAAUCAUCAAAUGUUUGAACGCAAAUGGCGCUUUUGCUAACUGCAAGAGCACGUCUCUAGGAGAGUCGUUUUUUCCCUCUUCCUGUUUGUACGGGAAGGACAAUGGGUUUGUUUCCUAACUUUAACAAGUAAGGAAUCACCUGAAAACCAUAGAGCACUUUUCCGUGGGCUUGGAUAAUCGUGUUGCACAAACACUUUCUGUCCCGAACACACACACAACAGUGGAUAUUGCCUGCACAAGGCUUUCCUAUUGUUGUCCCUGGCUUCGGUAAGAAAGACAUUGUACCGUUAUCAUUUCCAAACAAGACCAUGUUGAAAAAUCUCAUCCAAACCUUCUAACAACAACUUAAAUUAGAAGACCUCCUAUGAAACGAGAGAACCCGCUGAACUUAAGCAUAUUAUUAAGCGGAGGAAAAGAAACUAACAAGGAUCCCGUCAGUAACGGCGAGUGAAGCCGGGAGAGCUCAAGUCGAAAAUCUGCACGUCUCGCGACGUCGCUAGAAUUGUGGCCUCGAGACAUGUUGUCAUGGUGGCAGCCAGAGCCAAGUCCGCUGGAACGCGGCAUCAAAGAGGGUGAGAAUCCCGUCUCUGCUCUGGCCUUUUCCCUACAGCCCCAGUCCGACACAUGUUCACAGAGUCGUGUUGCUUGGGAGUGCAGCACAAAGUGGGUGGUACACGUCAUCCAAGCUAAAUAUGGGCGAGAGACCGAUAGCGAACAAGUACCGUGAGGGAAAGAUGAAAAGCACUUGGAAACGAGAGUGAAAUAGAGCUUGAAAUUGUUGCGAGGAAAGCACUGGUGAAGGUUUAUUCGUGCCAUGGUGGGUUUGAAGUGCACGAGGCGCAAGAUGGGGACGAGAGGUCAAACCUCGUUUCUUGUCGAUACGACUCGUGCUAAAUACUUCCAUCAUGGCACCGCUGGCAUCACUUUGGAACUAGAGUCGCAGAAACUCAGGAUGAAGGUAGCGGAUCUGCCUGCAACAAGCUCGCCAUGAUCCGAAUCAUACAGCGUUCUGAGCAAUACGACGACCCGGAGUGACCCUCUUCAUUUGCAGAGGAAAACUUGAGUGAGAGCUGGGGAAUCCAGGCGAGAUUCGGUAGGACUGGUUCAUAGAUCCCGUGUUACUGGCGCUUGCUUCAGGUUCCUCCUCCAACACCAGGUCAAGCCGGCGCAAUUCGAAAAAGCCCACCAAUAUCCCGUCUUGAAACACGGACCAAGGAGUCUAACGCGUGUGCGAGUAUUUGUGUGAUUUAAGCACGAAUGCGGAGUGAAAGCAAAGCUUGACGUACGUCUCGUGAGGUGUGAUUAUGGAGGUCUUUGGACCUUUGUAAGCAACAUCGGCCGCCCUCGGUGUUGAGGAGUGAGCACGAGCAUCCGCGUUGGGACCCGAAAGAUGGUGAUCUAUGCUUGGGCAGGGUGAAGCCAGGGGAAACCCUGGUGGAGGCUCGUAGCGGUACUGACGUGCAAAUCGUUCGUCGGAUCUGAGUAUAGGGGCGAAAGACUAAUCGAACCAUCUAGUAGCUGGUUCCCUC
This 1813-nucleotide unclassified non-coding RNA is filed under the name uncultured fungus. Its description in RNAcentral is "sequence contains 18S rRNA gene, ITS1, 5.8S rRNA gene, ITS2, 28S rRNA gene". The stretch from base 640 to 1813 matches the Rfam family "Eukaryotic large subunit ribosomal RNA", at positions 1 to 961 of the family's 3401-position model. The record is from RNAcentral. Lineage: Eukaryota; Fungi.